AUAGACUGCUAGGAGGUUAAAGCAAAAUGCCUGGAAGGCGCCAACAUAAUGUUGAUGUAAGAGAAGGGUCUCUUAAAAAGGCAAAAUCCUAUGCCAUUUCCCUCUUCUCUCCCUUCUCACCAGUAAAUAAUUAAAAAAAAUGUGAGAACCUCGGUAAGCAGAUAUGUCAACAAUUAUCUCAAAGAAAUCUCAUACAACAACCAGCCAGUGAGCUUCUCAGCCAUAAUUAAUAUAGCUAUAGCCACUUUGGCAAUUCAAAAUGAAGGCUACUGAUUCCCAUGCUAUCCCUUGGUACAUGUAGCCAUCAGAUCAAACAAUACAGAAAAAUAUGGGCUCAAAGAAAGAAGCACCGACGUGCAAUUGAAUACGAAGAGUUCUUUGCCCCUCCUAAACAUCACACACACACAACACACAUAUAAGAAGCAACGGUCUCCAAAAGCCCUACCUGCCAGUUUAUAUAUCAUCUUGGCUGUGAAAAGCCAAGUGUGCUGUGCUUAGUCGCACAUCUUAAGAUAUGAAAAAAAAUAUUACUUAAAUUCUCUUUUGAAGUCCAUGAACUUUGGCAUAACAUUCAAAUCCACCCGCCAUGAAUUCAUUUGUGAAUAAAAAUUGAGGCCAACUUCAAUUUUAUGGUAAAUUGGUGUAAAAUUUCUUAUUUGUUGUCUUAAUUGUGCUAAAUCUCUUAAAAGAUAAAAAAUAAUAAGAAUAAGCAAAAUUCUUCUUGCAACACUCAGCAGUGGAUGUAACAGGACCCCAGAAACUUGAUAUUCCAUCAGCCAUCCUACUCUACGGGUGCCCAAACUUUGAAUAUAAUCAAUCAAAUCUCUUUUGUUACGAUUUGGCAGGGUUCAUGAACCAAUAAAAUACAAACCUACAGAGACAACCAGAGCUUUCAAGAACCCAAAAAUCUAUCAAUUAGAAACAUCGAGAGGAAACUUUACCAAACCAAAAAAAAAUGAGAUCACAAUCAACAAAUUGCAUUAAUUCAUAUGCCUAGCAAGAAAGAAGCAUAACACAUUAAAUGCAGUUGCUUCAAAAGGGAGUUCGUUAGACCACACAAACACACACACACACACAUCAUUUGUGCUACAUCUUGAACACGCACACACACACACAUCACUCACACAACAAAAAGAUACAUUAAUUUAGCUUGGAUUCAUUUGUGCUACAUCUUGAAUUCACAAUGCAAUUUCACUUUAUGUGUACACACACACGCGCGCGCACACACACACACACAAAAGCGCACACUACCACUUACACUGCAUAAGAAAAUCAGUUUAACACUUGAAAAACUCUAUUUUUGUGGCCUCACCCCCAUCACCCUCCGAUUCCCCGGAGGAAAAAAAAAAGGAAAAAAAAAGUUUCAUCUUACACUUUCUGUUGUACUUCCACUGCAUUGCAUGCAAUAUAGAGCUUAAUUGCACCAUAUAGUAUAUAUCUGCAUAGUGGAUAUAUCUAUAUAGUGUGCUUCUCCUUUAUUUUUCUUGUUUGUAGUGUUAUUUUUGUUUGGAUUGAUGCAAGCUGUGUCACCCUUGGCAAAAACCACCACCACCAAAGAUGAGAGC
RNAcentral lists this unclassified non-coding RNA (1565 nucleotides) under Hevea brasiliensis (rubber tree). The record is from RNAcentral. Lineage: Eukaryota; Viridiplantae; Streptophyta; Magnoliopsida; Malpighiales; Euphorbiaceae.